CACAUCUCGUUGCACAGAUAUUUGUUCA
This 28-nucleotide non-coding RNA is filed under the name Mus musculus (house mouse). The record is from RNAcentral. Lineage: Eukaryota; Metazoa; Chordata; Mammalia; Rodentia; Muridae.